Molecule: ribosomal RNA, 345 nt
Filed under: uncultured bacterium
Lineage: Bacteria
Description: bacterial SSU rRNA
Rfam family: Bacterial small subunit ribosomal RNA
Source: RNAcentral
AUUGAACGCUGGCGGAAUGCUUUACACAUGCAAGUCGAACGGUAGAGGGGGCAACCCCUUGAGAGUGGCGAACGGGUGAGUAAUAUAUCGGAACGUGCCCAGUCGUGGGGGAUAACGUAGCGAAAGUUACGCUAAUACCGCAUACGAUCUAAGGAUGAAAGCGGGGGAUCGCAAGACCUCGCGCGAUUGGAGCGGCCGAUGUCAGAUUAGCUAGUGGUGGGGUAAAGGCCCACCAAGGCGACGAUCUGUAGCUGGUCUGAGAGGACGACCAGCCACACUGGGACUGAGACACGGCCCAGACUCCUACGGGAGGCAGCAGUGGGGAAUUUGGACAAUGGCGGCAAG